RNAcentral lists this ribosomal RNA (468 nucleotides) under uncultured bacterium. Its description in RNAcentral is "partial 16S ribosomal RNA". It matches the Rfam family "Bacterial small subunit ribosomal RNA", at positions 28 to 507 of the family's 1533-position model. The record is from RNAcentral.
GACGAACGCUGGCGGCGUGCUUAACACAUGCAAGUCGAACGGAAAGGCCCUGCUUUUGUGGGGUGCUCGAGUGGCGAACGGGUGAGUAACACGUGAGUAACCUGCCCUUGACUUUGGGAUAACUUCAGGAAACUGGGGCUAAUACCGGAUAGGAGCUCCUGCUGCAUGGUGGGGGUUGGAAAGUUUCGGCGGUUGGGGAUGGACUCGCGGCUUAUCAGCUUGUUGGUGGGGUAGUGGCUUACCAAGGCUUUGACGGGUAGCCGGCCUGAGAGGGUGACCGGCCAGAUUGGGACUGAGAUACGGCCCAGGCUCCUACGGGAGGCAGCAGUGGGGAAUAUUGCACAAUGGGCGAAAGCCUGAUGCAGCAACGCCGCGUGCGGGAUGACGGCCUUCGGGUUGUAAACCGCUUUCGCCUGUGACGAAGCGUGAGUGACGGUAAUGGGUAAAGAAGCACCGGCUAACUACGUG